AGCCCCGUGGUGUAGUGGCCAAUCAUGUUGGAUUUUGGAUCCAACGACCGCGGUUCGAAUCCGCGCGGGGCUA
Molecule: transfer RNA, 73 nt
Filed under: Candidatus Woesearchaeota archaeon
Lineage: Archaea; Nanobdellati; Candidatus Woesearchaeota
Also listed under: 1 other name
Description: tRNA-Gln
Rfam family: tRNA
About the family: Transfer RNA (tRNA) molecules are approximately 80 nucleotides in length. Their secondary structure includes four short double-helical elements and three loops (D, anti-codon, and T loops).
Source: RNAcentral